GUCAGCAGGCGCUUAUUUCAGUCAAAUGGGUCAGUCCAUUCACAGACAAGACUUAAGAAAAUAUUACCUUUCUACUUAAAGAUUCCAGGAAUUGCACUUUCUGGGCCCAAAGCCUCCCUGCCUGCCCUCACACCUUUUCUACAGCUGCUGGGUCAGACUGAAGCCUGGGGCCGGCCUACACCUCUGCCUUCGAGUCUUAUCUUCAGUUGCCUGGGCUGCCUUCGGCCGGAGGCCCGCCUACCUGCCCAUGCGCCGUUCUUCAGCAGUCCGGCUGCCCGGCUGCCCGCCAUCAGCAGGCCCACAGCAAGAGUGACGGCCAUAUCGGAGUGGCGAGCAGCAGAGAGAGAGCCUCUCCGAGGCUAAUGGCUGAGAAUUGAAGCCCACCGGGAGAGCGAAGAUAGUCACUGCAAUAAAAGACCCAGCAGACUACAGCGGUUGACAUGUUGCUCAGCUGUGCUACACCUCCAGUUCUACUGAUUUCCUCUUCCAACUGUGACAACAAGGCUGGUGAUCCUUAUGGCUUGUCCCACUCUGGAAGCACCUCUAUGGCAAUGAAGCUGAGUAAAGAUGGAAAAUUCCUCAGGUGAUGAACCAAGAAAGCUCUUGUGGAGAAGUUGACCGCCUAGCAACACCCAAGGGAAGUGGGGAUCCAGUCAUGUGACUACUGAGGGAGAAGAAUACUCCAGAUGCUGAAAGAAGAAAGGCAAAGUACAGGAAGUCUGUCUGGGCAUCUAUGAGCACCAAGGAAGCCAAAGAGCCUAAGACAGAGUGAGGAAAGAGGAGACUAAUAGAAGAUAAGGGGACAAGACAGAUGGACACUGCAUUUCACCUGGGAGCGGAGCCAAUGCUAGCUGUGCUUGCUGCCCUGGAGAAGUUUAUAGAAAUGAGGUGGAAUGCAUGAAUUUCCAAGGGAGAAUGAAGCCCUAAGUCCCACUUCCAAGUUUGAUUCGCUCAGGCUAUUGGGUGUUUUGUUUUGGUACCAGGGACCUUGCGCUUGUGAGGCAGGCGGCGCAAUCACUGAGCUAAAUCCCCGGCCCUCAGGCUAUUGGUUUUAAAUGUACC
This 1062-nucleotide long non-coding RNA is filed under the name Heterocephalus glaber (naked mole-rat). RNAcentral describes it as "lncRNA (ENSHGLG00000032153.1)". The record is from RNAcentral. Lineage: Eukaryota; Metazoa; Chordata; Mammalia; Rodentia; Bathyergidae.